This 255-nucleotide ribosomal RNA is filed under the name uncultured bacterium. RNAcentral describes it as "partial 16S ribosomal RNA". It matches the Rfam family "Bacterial small subunit ribosomal RNA", at positions 524 to 776 of the family's 1533-position model. The record is from RNAcentral.
CACGGGGGGAGCAAGCGUUGUUCGGAAUCACUGGGCGUAAAGGGCGUGUAGGCGGUCAAGUAAGUGGGAUGUGAAAUCCCUCGGCUCACCCGAGGACCUGCAUCCCAAACUGCUUGGCUUGAGUAUGGGAGAGGAUGAGGGAAUUCCUGGUGUAGCGGUGAAAUGCGUAGAUAUCAGGAGGAACACCGGUGGCGAAGGCGCUCAUCUGGCCCAAUACUGACGCUGGAGGCGACGAAAGCUAGGGGAGCAAACGGG